RNAcentral lists this small RNA (446 nucleotides) under Pan troglodytes (chimpanzee). Its description in RNAcentral is "retained intron". The record is from RNAcentral. Lineage: Eukaryota; Metazoa; Chordata; Mammalia; Primates; Hominidae.
AAGCUGGGCCCUCCCUCAGGGAGGGCAUCCUGAAGACUGCGAAGGUGCUGGUGGAGGACACCAAGGUCCUGGUGCAAAACGCAGCUGGGAGCCAGGAGAAGUUGGCGCAGGCUGCCCAGUCCUCCGUGGCGACCAUCACCCGCCUCGCUGAUGUGGUCAAGCUGGGUGCAGCCAGCCUGGGAGCUGAGGACCCUGAGACCCAGGUGGUACUAAUCAACGCAGUGAAAGAUGUAGCCAAAGCCCUGGGAGACCUCAUCAGUGCAACGAAGGCUGCAGCUGGCAAAGUUGGAGAUGACCCUGCUGUGUGGCAGCUAAAGAACUCUGCCAAGGUGAUGGUGACCAAUGUGACAUCAUUGCUUAAGACAGUAAAAGCCGUGGAAGAUGAGGCCACCAAAGGCACUCGGGCCCUGGAGGCAACCACAGAACACAUACGGCAGGAGCUGGCG